UACGUAGGCAGCGAGCGUUGUUCGGAAUUACUGGGCGUAAAGAGUGUGUAGGCGGUGCUCUAAGUUCGGUGUGAAAUCUCCUGGCUCAACUGGGAGGGUGCGCCGGAAACUGGAGUGCUUGAGCGUGGGAGAGGAAAGCGGAAUUCCUGGUGUAGCGGUGAAAUGCGUAGAUAUCAGGAGGAACACCUGUGGUGUAGACAGCUUACUGGACCACUUCUGACGCUGAGACACGAAAGCGUGGGUAGCAAACAGG
Molecule: ribosomal RNA, 253 nt
Filed under: uncultured bacterium
Lineage: Bacteria
Description: partial 16S ribosomal RNA
Rfam family: Bacterial small subunit ribosomal RNA
Source: RNAcentral